RNAcentral lists this ribosomal RNA (468 nucleotides) under uncultured bacterium. RNAcentral's name for it is "partial 16S ribosomal RNA". It matches the Rfam family "Bacterial small subunit ribosomal RNA", at positions 28 to 507 of the family's 1533-position model. The record is from RNAcentral.
GACGAACGCUGGCGGCGUGCUUAACACAUGCAAGUCGAACGGAAAGGCCCUGCUUUUGUGGGGUGCUCGAGUGGCGAACGGGUGAGUAACACGUGAGUAACCUGCCCUUGACUUUGGGAUAACUUCAGGAAACUGGGGCUAAUACCGGAUAGGAGCUCCUGCUGCAUGGUGGGGGUUGGAAAGUUUCGGCGGUUGGGGAUGGACUCGCGGCUUAUCAGCUUGUUGGUUGGGUAGUGGCUUACCAAGGCUUUGACGGGUAGCCGGCCUGAGAGGGUGACCGGCCACAUUGGGACUGAGAUACGGCCCAGACUCCUACGGUGGGCAGCAGUGGGGAAUAUUGCACAAUGAGCGGAAGCCUGAUGCAGCAACGCCGCGGGCGUGAUGACGGCCUGCGGGUUGUAAACCGCUUUCGCCUGUGACGAAGCGGGAGUGACGGUAAUGGGUAAAGAAGCACCGGCUAACUACGUG